GGGCGUUUCUGUUGCUUCCCCCAAAAACUGCAAACAAAAGGAAGAGAAAUAGUCCAACUCAGGUUCUGAUACAACUGGAUGUGUGAGGAUCCUAGCACCCUUUUGCGGAGUAUUUGCGUUCCGACCUUCUCAUGGUGUUGUAUCGACUAUUGGGCUUCUGACAAACACGCAAAGUUUAGAUACUGUUGGGAAUUCUUGGUUGAUCUCACGACGGACCCUGGCACUCUUAUUCCACCAGAUGUACUAAGUGCAAAAGAUGCGCCUUUAAGUUCAGUAAUUCAUGACUAGUAGAAAACUUCAAUUCCUGGACCACAAACAAAUCAAGGGUGACUUAUCGGGAUCCAAAUAGUUAUAUAAAAAUGAAUCUGGGGCUUCAUCAUUCGAUAAUAAUAUCUUAGAUAAAAGUUCAAAGCAUGAGAAGAUAGUACAAGUAUGUUCUGUUACAAGUAGUGGAACAUCAUCCAUAACAGUUGGUAGUAGUUCAAGUACAAAUGCAAAGGGUUUGUCUUCUGAUCAGCCAAAUCGGUUCCCUUCAAAGCAGAAAGCAAUUGCUGUAGCACCUUUGGAUGCUAAUAAUUCGGUUAGUGAGAAACUCAGCAUAGUACCAAGUUUACAAACUGCUGAAGAUUCUAGAAACCUUUUGCUGAGCUAAACCCUUUCCAAGAAGUUGGAGUCAGAAAAACUUCUGGACCACCCAAAGUUACUGAUAAUAAAAAAAUAAGAGUAUCAGAAGCGUAGAGAAAGCAUUGCUCCAU
Long non-coding RNA from Dioscorea cayenensis subsp. rotundata (Guinea yam), 755 nucleotides. RefSeq lists it as uncharacterized. The record is from RefSeq and is a predicted model, not a curated record. NCBI's taxonomy places the organism in Eukaryota, Viridiplantae, Streptophyta, Magnoliopsida, Dioscoreales, Dioscoreaceae. The transcript is spliced from 3 exons.